GGGUUGGCUGCUGACGGGCUGAUCCUGGGGUUGGCUGCUGACGGGCUGAUCCUGGGGUUGGUUGUUGACGGGCUGAUCCUGGGGUUGGCUGUUGACGGGCUGAUCCUGGGGUUGGCUGUUGACGGGCUGAUCCUGGGGUUGGCUGCUGAUGGGCUGAUCCUGGGGUUGGCUGUUGACGGGCUGGUCCUGGGGUUGGCUGUUGAUGGGCUGGUCCUGGGGUUGGUUGUUGACGGGCUGAUCCUGGGGUUGGCUGUUGACGGGCUGAUCCUGGGGUUGGCUGUUGAUGGGCUGGUCCUGGGGUUGGUUGUUGAUGGGCUGAUCCUGGGGUUGGUUGUUGACGGGCUGAUCCUGGGGUUGGUUGUUGACGGGCUGGUCCUGGCUGAGGGUCAACUCAUUCUCUUUUUCCAACUUGCUGUCAGAUUCCGAAUUGACAGAGACAUGAUCUUCAUAUCGC
Molecule: long non-coding RNA, 454 nt
Organism: Oncorhynchus tshawytscha (Chinook salmon)
Lineage: Eukaryota; Metazoa; Chordata; Actinopteri; Salmoniformes; Salmonidae
Source: Ensembl